Molecule: small nucleolar RNA, 72 nt
Organism: Oryctolagus cuniculus (rabbit)
Lineage: Eukaryota; Metazoa; Chordata; Mammalia; Lagomorpha; Leporidae
Source: Ensembl
UGGAUCGAUGAUGAUGACUGGUGGCGGAUGAGUCGAGGAUCAUGACUACUGGUCUGGAAGGCUGAGGUCCAA